CCGAGUUUACAACUCCCAAACCCCUGUGAACAUACCUAUACGUUUGCCUCGGCGGAUCAGCCCGCGCCCCGUAAAAAGGGACGGCCCGCCCGAGGACCCCUAAAACUCUGUUUUUAGUGGAACUUCUGAGUAAAAACAAACAAAUAAAUCAAAAACUUUCAACAACGGAUCUCUUGGUUCUGGCAUCGAUGAAGAAACGCAGCAAAAUGCGAUAAGUAAUGUGAAUUGCAGAAUUCAGUGAAUCAUCGAAUCUUUGAACGCCACAUUGCGCCCGCCAGUAUUCUGGCGGGCAUGCCUGUUCGAGCGUCAUUUCAACCCUCAAGCUCAGCUUGGUGUUGGGACUCGCGGUAACCCGCGUUUCCCCAAAUCGAUUGGCGGUCACGUCGAGCUUCCAUAGCGUAGUAAUCAUACACCUCGUUACUGGUAAUCGUCGCAGCCACGCCGUAAAACCCCAACUUCUGAAUGUUGACCUCGGAUCAGGUAGGAAUACCCGCUGAAACUUAAGCAUAUCAAUAAGCGGAGGAAUCGUAGCCUUGGUCAUUUAGAGGAAGUAAAAGUCGUAAACAAGGUUUUCCGUAGGUGAACCUGCGGAAGGAAUCACUAGUGAUUAAAUCGAGCGUGUCUUCAUUGACCGCUCACCCUUCUCACCAUCCACAUACACCUGUGCACUGUUUAGCCUGAGCCGGUUUUUUCCGGUCCAGGUUAUCAUUUCAUACAAAACUCUAGUCUUAUGAAUGUAAACGUUUUAAUAACAUAAUA
Molecule: unclassified non-coding RNA, 759 nt
Filed under: soil metagenome
Description: partial contains internal transcribed spacer 1, 5.8S ribosomal RNA, and internal transcribed spacer 2
Rfam family: 5.8S ribosomal RNA (bases 154-309)
Source: RNAcentral